GAGCGGUAACAGGUGUAGCAAUACAUGCUGACGAGCGGCGAACGGGUGAGUAAUGCUUCGGAAUCUACCCUAUGGUGGGGAAUAACCAGCCGAAAGGUUGGCUAAUACCGCAUACGUCCUACGGGAGAAAGCAGGGGAUCGCAAGACCUUGCGCCGAUGGAUGAGCCGAAGUCGGAUUAGCUAGUUGGUGAGGUAACGGCUCACCAAGGCGACGAUCCGUAGCUGGUCUGAGAGGACGACCAGCCACACUGGGACUGAGACACGGCCCAGACUCCUACGGGAGGCAGCAGUGGGGAAUAUUGGACAAUGGGGGCAACCCUGAUCCAGCGACGCCGCGUGUGUGAAGAAGGCCUGCGGGUUGUAAAGCACUUUUAGUGGGGAUGAAAAGUGCAGAGAUAACACCUCUGCAUCUUGACCUAACCCACAGAAAAAGCACCGGCUAACUCUGUG
Molecule: ribosomal RNA, 450 nt
Filed under: uncultured bacterium
Lineage: Bacteria
Description: bacterial SSU rRNA
Rfam family: Bacterial small subunit ribosomal RNA
Source: RNAcentral